Molecule: long non-coding RNA, 199 nt
Organism: Oryza brachyantha (malo sina)
Lineage: Eukaryota; Viridiplantae; Streptophyta; Magnoliopsida; Poales; Poaceae
Exons: 3
Source: RefSeq, a predicted model, not a curated record
CUCCCGUCUCCACUCCAUCCCAGCCGAGCAGCGGGCGGGCGCCGGCGUCCGUCCUCGCUCGCCCGGAAAUCCCAUCCUCUACAAACCAGAUCAUGUGAUUUUGAACUUGUAUUGUUAACAAGGAGCUUCCACAUCUCAGCCCUCAGCUAAGGAUUGGAAUGGCCAAAUCCAAUGGCAAUGAGGAAAAUGAUGACACGGG